RNAcentral lists this ribosomal RNA (468 nucleotides) under uncultured bacterium. RNAcentral describes it as "partial 16S ribosomal RNA". It matches the Rfam family "Bacterial small subunit ribosomal RNA", at positions 28 to 507 of the family's 1533-position model. The record is from RNAcentral.
GACGAACGCUGGCGGCGUGCUUAACACAUGCAAGUCGAACGGAAAGGCCCUGCUUUUGUUGGGUUCUCGAUUGGCGAACGGGUGAGUAACACGUGAGUAACCUGCCCUUGACUUUGUGAGAACUUCAGGAAACUGGGGCUAAUACCGGAUAGGAUCUCCUGCUGCGUGGUGGGGGUUGGAGAGUUUCGGCUGUUGGGGAUGGACUCGCGGCUUAUCAGCUUGUUGGUGAGGUAGUGGCUUACCAAGGCUUUGACGGGUAGCCGGCAUGAGAGGGUGACCGGCCACAUUGGGACUGAGAUACGGCGCAGACUCCUACGGGAGGCAGCAGUGGGGAAUAUUGCACAAUGGGCGGAAGCCUGAUGCAGCAACGCCGCGUGCGGGAUGACGGCCUUCGGGUUGUAAACAGCUUUCGAAUGUGACGAAGCGUGAGUGACGGUAAUGGGUAAAGAAGCACCGGCUAACUACGUG